RNAcentral lists this signal recognition particle RNA (97 nucleotides) under Alphaproteobacteria bacterium. RNAcentral describes it as "signal recognition particle sRNA small type". It matches the Rfam family "Bacterial small signal recognition particle RNA". Rfam says of the family: The signal recognition particle (SRP) is a universally conserved ribonucleoprotein involved in the co-translational targeting of proteins to membranes. Lineage: Bacteria; Pseudomonadati; Pseudomonadota; Alphaproteobacteria. The record is from RNAcentral.
GGAGGUUGGCGGUGGACGGGCACCUCGCCAACCCGGUCAGGACCGGAAGGUAGCAGCCGUAACGAGAUUCGUUCGGGUCACCUAACCAGCCUCCCAC